RNAcentral lists this ribosomal RNA (427 nucleotides) under uncultured bacterium. RNAcentral's name for it is "partial 16S ribosomal RNA". It matches the Rfam family "Bacterial small subunit ribosomal RNA", at positions 355 to 774 of the family's 1533-position model. The record is from RNAcentral.
UGGGGAAUAUUGCACAAUGGGCGCAAGCCUGAUGCAGCCAUGCCGCGUGUAUGAAGAAGGCCUUCGGGUUGUAAAGUACUUUCAGCGGGGAGGAAGGCGUUGUGGUUAAUAACCACAGCGAUUGACGUUACCCGCAGAAGAAGCACCGGCUAACUCCGUGCCAGCAGCCGCGGUAAUACGGAGGGUGCAAGCGUUAAUCGGAAUUACUGGGCGUAAAGCGCACGCAGGCGGUAUGUUAAGUCAGAUGUGAAAUCCCCGGGCUCAACCUGGGAACUGCAUUUGAAACUGGCAGGCUUGAGUCUCGUAGAGGGGGGUAGAAUUCCAGGUGUAGCGGUGAAAUGCGUAGAGAUCUGGAGGAAUACCGGUGGCGAAGGCGGCCCCCUGGACGAAGACUGACGCUCAGGUGCGAAAGCGUGGGGAGCAAACA